RNAcentral lists this ribosomal RNA (440 nucleotides) under uncultured bacterium. RNAcentral describes it as "partial 16S ribosomal RNA". It matches the Rfam family "Bacterial small subunit ribosomal RNA", at positions 338 to 795 of the family's 1533-position model. The record is from RNAcentral.
CCUACGGGAGGCAGCAGUAGGGAAUAUUGCUCAAUGGGGGAAACCCUGAAGCAGCAACGCCGCGUGGAGGAUGAAGGUUUUCGGAUUGUAAACUCCUUUUGUUAGAGAAGAUAAUGACGGUAUCUAACGAAUAAGCACCGGCUAACUCCGUGCCAGCAGCCGCGGUAAUACGGAGGGUGCAAGCGUUACUCGGAAUCACUGGGCGUAAACGGCGCGUAGGCGGGAUAGCAAGUCAGAUGUGAAAUCCUAUGGGCUAACCAUAGAACAGCAUUUGAAACUGUUAUUCGAGAGUAGGGGAGAGGUAGGUGGAAUGCUUGGUGUAGGGGUAAAAUCCGUAGAGAUCAAGAGGAAUACUGAUUGCGAAGGCGACCUGCUAGAGCAUAACUGACGCUGAUGCGCGAAAGCGUGGGGAGCAAACAGGAUUAGAUACCCUUGUAGUC